RNAcentral lists this ribosomal RNA (1566 nucleotides) under Tectovalopsis sp. CCZ 229. RNAcentral's name for it is "partial small subunit ribosomal RNA". It matches the Rfam family "Eukaryotic small subunit ribosomal RNA", at positions 72 to 1206 of the family's 1831-position model. The record is from RNAcentral. Lineage: Eukaryota; Metazoa; Arthropoda; Malacostraca; Amphipoda; Alicellidae.
UUUGACACAGCGAGACCGCGGACGGCUCAUUAAAUCAGUCGUGGUCCAUAUGGGCCAGUGUUGAUCCUACUUGGACAACUGUGGUAAUUCCAGAGCUAAUACAUGCAACUCUUAUCCCGAAGGAACGCGGCAUUCACUUGUCGUUGUUCUCUGACGGAUGCUUUUAUUAGACCAAACUGCUGGGUGCGUGGUGUUUCGCCUCCGGGCGUUCCCACGUUUGACUCGUGUGAUGGUGACUCUGAAUAACCUUUCUUGACAAGCGCAAGUACCCCUCUUAUGAGCUGGGACGGCGCUACCACUUUCGAGUGUCUGACUUAUCAGCUAUCAACCGUUCGUUAUGUGCGACCGAUGGCGUUGACGGGUAACGGGGAAUCAGAGUUCGAUUCCGGAGAGGCAGCCUGAGAGACGGCUACCACGUCCAAGGACGGCAGCAGGCACGCAAAUUACCCAAUCCCAGCAUCUGGGGGAGGUAGUGACGAAAUCUAACGAUGCGGGCGCCCUUUCUGGGGCCCCGCAAUCGGAAUGGCCAUUUUCUAAACAACCUGUUGAGAACCUACUGAAGGGCAAGUCUGGUGCCAGCAGCCGCGGUAAUUCCAGCUUCAGCAGCAUCUAUUAAAGUUGCUGCGGUUAAAAGGCUCGCAGUUGAAUGUCAGUACCGAGCGCAGGUCAGGUGGACGCUGGGGCGUGGGAACACAAGGCGCGUCGCUUCUCUGGUUCUGGUGUGCGUGCUCUCGCUGUUGUGCGUGUGUGCUUUCGGGUGCGCGCGUGCUGGUGUCUGUUGCGUGUGCCACGUUUCUCGGGGUUGCGUUCGUGUCUCUCACAAGCCCCCGUCCGUGACAAGCCUCCUCGCUUGCGUACAUAUCUGGAAUCGGUAAAUACAAUGGAGUGUGCGCGUGUGCGGUUCGGCUCAUCUUUUCCUCUGCUUUGCGUGUUUUCCUCUCUCUCACGUGUGCCUUCUUGCGCGCGUGGGGGUUGAAUUGGGGAUCGCUCAGUACGUCUAGCUCUGGGUGUGUGACUCGCGCAAGCGUACGUUAAAAGCUCCUUCGGUUUUAAAGUCACCUUGAGUAAAUCAGAGUGCUCAAAGCAGUCGUAAGGGCCUUGUGCCCUGUGAACAGUCUUGACGGACUGACUUGGUUUUGCAUGGCAUGUCGGAAGACGACGUCGUGUGCUGGCUCAGAGAUAUAAUCAGUGGUGCAAGCCAGCCUCGACGUACUGAUUAACAGGUUCGGUCGAGGGCGUUGGUAUUGCGGGGCGAGAGGUGAAAUUCUAUGACCCCCGCAAGACCUCCUGAAGCGAAAGCGUCUGCCAAGGACGUUCUCACUAAUCAUGAACGAAAGUUAGAGGAUCGAAGGCGAUCAGAUACCGCCCUAGUUCUAACCGUAAACGAUGCCAACCAUCAAUCCGCGCGUAGCACCCUUCUUAACGGGCUCGGCGGGCAGCUCCCCACUCACGGGAAACCAGAGUCUCUGGGUUCCGGGGGGAGUCUGGUUGCAAAGCUGAAACUUAAAGGAAUUGACGGAAAGGCACCACCAGGCGUGGAGCCUGCGGCUUAAUUUGACUCAACAC